AUCCUUUUGUAGUUUGGAAGUGUGAUAAUUGGGGAUUCACACUCGUAUGUGAGAUGUGUCACACCCGAACCUUUUUACGUUGGCAAAAUACCCAUCUGACA
RNAcentral lists this small nucleolar RNA (101 nucleotides) under Nomascus leucogenys (northern white-cheeked gibbon). RNAcentral describes it as "Small nucleolar RNA U13". It matches the Rfam family "Small nucleolar RNA U13". Lineage: Eukaryota; Metazoa; Chordata; Mammalia; Primates; Hylobatidae. The record is from Rfam by way of RNAcentral.